RNAcentral lists this ribosomal RNA (511 nucleotides) under uncultured bacterium. RNAcentral describes it as "bacterial SSU rRNA". It matches the Rfam family "Bacterial small subunit ribosomal RNA", at positions 29 to 517 of the family's 1533-position model. The record is from RNAcentral.
AGCGAACGUUAGCGGCGGGCCUAACACAUGCAAGUCGAACGCGAAAGGUCUUCGGACUGAGUAGAGUGGCGCACGGGUGAGUAACACGUAGGUAAUCUACCCUUUGGCGGGGGAUAACGUCCCGAAAGGAGCGCUAAUACCGCAUAAGACCACGUGGUCUCCGGACCGAGUGGGAAAAGGUGGCCUCUUCUUGAAAGCUACCACCGAAGGAUGAGCCUGCGUCCCAUCAGCUAGUUGGUAAGGUAAUGGCUUACCAAGGCAAAGACGGGUAGCUGGUUUGAGAGAAUGAUCAGCCACACUGGCACUGGAACACGGGCCAGACUCCUACGGGAGGCAGCAGUGAGGAAUAUUGGGCAAUGGGCGAAAGCCUGACCCAGCCACGCCGCGUGAGUGAUGAAGGCCCUCGGGUCGUAAAGCUCUGUGGAGAGGGACGAAAACCCUGGUUUCAAAUAGGCUCCAGGCUUGACGGUACCUCUUUAGCAAGCACCGGCUAACUCUGUGCCAGCAGCCG